GGAAGCGUGGCCGAGUGGUUUAAGGCAGUGCUCUUGAAAAGCACCGAGGGCUUAUACCCCUCCGUGAGUUCGAAUCUCACCGCUUCCG
This is a non-coding RNA of Gallionellales bacterium GWE2_58_10, 88 nucleotides long. NCBI's taxonomy places the organism in Bacteria, Pseudomonadati, Pseudomonadota, Betaproteobacteria, Nitrosomonadales. The record is from Rfam.